CAGCCGCCGCGGUAAUACGUAGGUGGCAAGCGUUGUCCGGAAUUAUUGGGCGUAAAGGGCUCGCAGGCGGUUUCUUAAGUCUGAUGUGAAAGCCCCCGGCUCAACCGGGGAGGGUCAUUGGAAACUGGGAAACUUGAGUGCAGAAGAGGAGAGUGGAAUUCCACGUGUAGCGGUGAAAUGCGUAGAGAUGUGGAGGAACACCAGUGGCGAAGGCGACUCUCUGGUCUGUAACUGACGCUGAGGAGCGAAAGCGUGGGGAGCGAACAGGAUUAGAUACCCGGGUAGUCCCUGUCUCUUAUAC
Molecule: ribosomal RNA, 301 nt
Filed under: uncultured bacterium
Lineage: Bacteria
Description: partial 16S ribosomal RNA
Rfam family: Bacterial small subunit ribosomal RNA
Source: RNAcentral